CCUAGGUAUAAAUAUAUAAUUAUGCUUGGCCGACCACCCCUUUUCUUUUCUUCCCUUGUUUUGUGCCGCCCAAACCCUAAGAAUUUUGGCUCAUCUCCUCUUUUAGUUUUUCUUCUUUUUUCUCCCUAAGUGACGCCACUCCUACCACCACCUUUUAGCCACCAUUUCCAUCCUUUUCCCUUCUCCUCCUCUUCUUUCCUCUCUUUAUUUCUCCUAGCCACUGUACUAGGCACCUUAAACCGCCGAACCCCCUUUGGAUUUUCCCUUGCCACCAUUCCUAACACCUAUUGGGACUGUCGUUUCACUCUUUUGUCAAACCACCCUCAUACAUUCGAAUUUUCCUUUUCCCACUGUCACACUACAUCAUUCUUUGUUGUCGAGUUCCUUUUCUUUUAAUGUUGAUUUAUUUCUGUUCAUGUGAAUCACCUUUGGCGUAAGACUGUAGUGGUUAAAUCCAUAUUCAUUGCAACAAUCGGAUUUUCAUACGUAUAAUGUUUAAAGGGCCAGAUCUGGGAGAGUCGAAUCAGAUCUGAUCGAGGGGUGUACCGCACGGUCUAGUAGCGAAGAUUUUGGAUUUAAGUUACAAGCUCGGGGAUCAUCAGCAAAGUCCACAAUAUCUGCUGUUUUGGUAUUUAAAUAGUCGAACUUGAACUAUGGCAUGUAUAGGUUGGAUUUUAUUUUGAAAUAUUAGAUUUUUGGGUCGUGUAUAAUUUAGCCAUGCGAAAAUGGCUUAAGUGUUAUGCUUGAGUUUGGUUUGGCUAGACUAUGGUUUGAGCUCGUUUCAAUUAUUUUGCUAUAUGCCAUGAGUUGGAAGUAAUUAUGUUAUGGGUUUUGAGUAUUGAAUUUAAUUAUAAAUCUUGGAUGUGGUAUGAAGGUGAUUAGCUUGGAUGUGUAUUAUACCAAGAUAAAGUAUGCAAGCGGAUCUUGUUUAUUAUAUUUAGUUUUAAUGUAAUAUGUUUUUAGUAAUAAAGAUUUAUGAAAUUGGUUUGUUAA
This is a long non-coding RNA of Gossypium arboreum, 993 nucleotides long. RefSeq lists it as uncharacterized. Lineage: Eukaryota; Viridiplantae; Streptophyta; Magnoliopsida; Malvales; Malvaceae. The transcript is spliced from 3 exons. The record is from RefSeq and is a predicted model, not a curated record.